UAACCGCUGAAAAAGCAUCUAAGCGGGAAACUUGCCUCAAGAUGAGAUCUCACUGGGAACUUGAUUCCCCUGAAGGGCCGUCGAAGACUACGACGUUGAUAGGCUGGGUGUGUAAGCGUUGUGAGGCGUUGAGCUAACCAGUACUAAUUGCCCGUGAGGCUUGACCAUAUAACACCCAAACA
Molecule: ribosomal RNA, 182 nt
Filed under: Pseudomonas aeruginosa
Lineage: Bacteria; Pseudomonadati; Pseudomonadota; Gammaproteobacteria; Pseudomonadales; Pseudomonadaceae
Description: partial 23S ribosomal RNA
Rfam family: Bacterial large subunit ribosomal RNA
Source: RNAcentral